Molecule: ribosomal RNA, 247 nt
Filed under: uncultured bacterium
Lineage: Bacteria
Description: partial 16S ribosomal RNA
Rfam family: Bacterial small subunit ribosomal RNA
Source: RNAcentral
CCGGGAGAAUAAGCUCCGGCUAACUCCGUGCCAGCAGCCGCGGUAAUACGGAGGGAGCUAGCGUUGUUCGGAAUUACUGGGCGUAAAGCGCGCGUAGGCGGUUUUUUAAGUCAGAGGUGAAAGCCCGGGGCUCAACCCCGGAAUUGCCUUUGAAACUGGAAAACUUGAAUCUUGGAGAGGUCAGUGGAAUUCCGAGUGUAGAGGUGAAAUUCGUAGAUAUUCGGAAGAACACCAGUGGCGAAGGCGA